GAGGGUCGCGAGACCUCCCUAAUACCUUCAACCAACCCGCGUACCUACCCGAGGGGGCCCCAGUGGCCACAAAACAUGAUGCCUCGGUCGGUGGCCCCAGGGGGGGCCUCUGCCUGCGCGCCUUCCGGGGCGCGGGGGUGCCGGCCGGCGGCCAAAACCAAAAACCUGAACGUUAUAAUAACCAAUAACCUCUUUAUAAACCAAAACCAUUA
Molecule: unclassified non-coding RNA, 212 nt
Filed under: uncultured Hypocreales
Lineage: Eukaryota; Fungi; Ascomycota; Sordariomycetes; Hypocreales
Description: sequence contains ITS1
Source: RNAcentral